This 756-nucleotide ribosomal RNA is filed under the name uncultured Bacteroidota bacterium. RNAcentral describes it as "bacterial SSU rRNA". It matches the Rfam family "Bacterial small subunit ribosomal RNA", at positions 83 to 840 of the family's 1533-position model. The record is from RNAcentral. Lineage: Bacteria; Pseudomonadati; Bacteroidota.
GAUGGGCGUCGACCGGCGCACGGGUGAGUAACGCGUAUCCAACCUGCCCACCACUUGGGGAUAACCUUGCGAAAGUAAGACUAAUACCCAAUGAUAUCUCUAGAAGACAUCUGAAAGGGAUUAAAGAUUCAUCGGUGAUGGAUGGGGAUGCGUCUGAUUAGCUUGUUGGCGGGGUAACGGCCCACCAAGGCGACGAUCAGUAGGGGUUCUGAGAGGAAGGUCCCCCACAUUGGAACUGAGACACGGUCCAAACUCCUACGGGAGGCAGCAGUGAGGAAUAUUGGUCAAUGGGCGAGAGCCUGAACCAGCCAAGUAGCGUGCAGGAUGACGGCCCUAUGGGUUGUAAACUGCUUUUAUAAGGGAAUAAAGUGAGAGUCGUGACUCUUUUUGCAUGUACCUUAUGAAUAAGGACCGGCUAAUUCCGUGCCAGCAGCCGCGGUAAUACGGAAGGUCCGGGCGUUAUCCGGAUUUAUUGGGUUUAAAGGGAGCGUAGGCCGGAGAUUAAGCGUGUUGUGAAAUGUAGAUGCUCAACAUCUGCACUGCAGCGCGAACUGGUUUCCUUGAGUACGCACAAAGUGGGCGGAAUUCGUGGUGUAGCGGUGAAAUGCUUAGAUAUCACGAAGAACUCCGAUUGCGAAGGCAGCUCACUGGAGCGCAACUGACGCUGAAGCUCGAAAGUGCGGGUAUCGAACAGGAUUAGAUACCCUGGUAGUCCGCACGGUAAACGAUGGAUGCCCGCUGUUGGUCUGAAUAGGU